AAACUGAAGAGUUUGAUCCUGGCUCAGAGUGAACGCUGGCGGCGUGCUUAACACAUGCAAGUCGAACGAGAACGGUCCUAGCUUGCUAGGAUGUCAGCUAAGUGGCGGACGGGUGAGUAAUGUAUAGUUAAUCUGCCCUU
This 140-nucleotide ribosomal RNA is filed under the name Gammaproteobacteria bacterium. RNAcentral's name for it is "partial 16S ribosomal RNA". It matches the Rfam family "Bacterial small subunit ribosomal RNA", at positions 1 to 133 of the family's 1533-position model. Lineage: Bacteria; Pseudomonadati; Pseudomonadota; Gammaproteobacteria. The record is from RNAcentral.